AUGACUAUACUUUCAGGGAUCAUUUCUAUAGUUCAUUACUACUAAUUAGCAUUCCUUUCCUUUAUCCAUAGUUUUUUUCCUGCUCC
Molecule: small nucleolar RNA, 86 nt
Filed under: Otolemur garnettii (small-eared galago)
Lineage: Eukaryota; Metazoa; Chordata; Mammalia; Primates; Galagidae
Description: Small nucleolar RNA U3 (ENSOGAG00000023763.1)
Source: RNAcentral